Molecule: long non-coding RNA, 1118 nt
Filed under: Nicotiana benthamiana
Lineage: Eukaryota; Viridiplantae; Streptophyta; Magnoliopsida; Solanales; Solanaceae
Description: long non-coding RNA (NBEN_LNC030313)
Source: RNAcentral
UUUUUUCUCUUCUUAAGGUUGCUUCAACCACGCCUUUUUUCUCAUCUUCCCCUUUCUUCUUCAGAUAUUAUUUCACUCUCUCUCUUGUUUUUUUCCUACUUGCUAUAGUUAGUCACCUACGUCGAAAAAACUGUUUAUCAUCCCAAAUUCGAAAUACUAUCAUGAAUCCACCAAUCAACUGCCAAACAUAGAAUCUUGGGCUUAAAUUCAAGUCCACAUGUUCAAAUCAGAAACCUUUGAUCAUAGCAAUAAUAGUGUGAAUGAUGAAAUUGUUGGUUCUGUUGAAAAUUUGGGCUGAAGGUAUCAUUCUGAAAUAGUCAGGUAGCAAAUAUUGGCUGUUUUGAGUGGUUUGGGUGUUGUUUUGGUCGAAUCUGAAUCUAUCGGUGAUCAGUGGCUCUCCGACGAUCUGAUUUUUUCUUGUUUUCUUAACACAGAUCUUCUUUUUGUGCAAUUUUUCUAUCUGGUAUUGGUUUUCCCUUUUGCUUAGUAUUAUUAUUGAUGGGAAGCAACUCACUCCCAACCGAGGGGUUGCUUUCCAAUGGAGGAGUUGCUAUGAUGGUAAGCAACCCCAUUUCUAAUCUAGCGGUUGUGAGAUCGAGUCUCCUCAAUAUCAAGGUGAUAAGUUGUUGGAGGGAAGGAUGCCGGGGUCUAUUUGAAAACAGCCUCUCUAUCCAAGAUUAGGGCAAGGUCUGCCUACAUAUUAUCUCUCUCCAGACACCACUAAGCAAUCAUUUGAAUGGUUAAUUAGAAUUAACAGUGUAGAACUAUGAGUAAGAAAAAAGAAAAAAAAAGGGAAAGUUAAAAGAUUACUGACGUGGUGCUGACGUGGUUUUGAUGUGGCACGCGUGUGUAAAACAUGAGACUGGUAUUAGUGUUUCGGUUGGGGUGUGGGGGCGAGUUUAUUCACUCCAAAUACAUUUGGGGGUUAAAAGAACACCACUUUAGUUUAAGUGUUCAAACCUCUUUUCUGAACAAGUUUAAUGGAUACUUAUGUAUUUUGCCUUAACUAAGUUAUUUAUUUCUUUAAUAUAAACAGUGGUGGCGAACAGACGGGUCGGAUCGCAUAUGAGCGGGUAAAAAAUAGGUAAUAAAAAAUAGAUAAAUUAUUUGAUCCAACC